CCUUUCCAAGCAUAAAGAAUGAGGAAGGCUGGGGCCAAAACAUUGGAGAGCUUAGGAAACAUUGUCAGCCUGGCUUUGAGCAUUGAGAAGGUGCAAAGUACCUCCUGUGUGUGUGUGUGUUCAUGUCUUUGACAGAAAUGGGAAUAGGAAAAUGAGAUCAAGAUGCUUUUGGUACGUUACUGGAAACAGAAUAAUAAAGAAAAGAGCAACCUCCAAACAGUACAGGGUCAGAUCCUGCAGAGUCCAGGUGCCCACACUGUGGUUUCCCCCUGGAGGUGCUGGGACAGGACCCCACCCUGGCACUGCUCUGGCUGGAGGAGGAGGAGGCACCAGCCCCAGUUUCCCCUCUGCUCUUGCAGAAUUCCUUUU
This is a long non-coding RNA of Neopelma chrysocephalum (saffron-crested tyrant-manakin), 369 nucleotides long. RefSeq lists it as uncharacterized. The transcript has 3 exons. The record is from RefSeq and is a predicted model, not a curated record. Lineage: Eukaryota; Metazoa; Chordata; Aves; Passeriformes; Pipridae.